GGGGGCGACCGGCUUCGAUUGUGUCGGUGACUCUGUGGUUGCGUGCCCAGGUGCCUGACCCUGGUAAAACAUCUGGCAAACCUAUCAACUGCCAACUCAAACCUGGCCCUUGCUGCGUAACUCGGCUUGACCCCGAGGUACGACCAGCAAUGCUCGCUGAGGAGCCCGCCCGGGGCGGCUCAUCGAGUAUCGCAAUACCGGGAUAGCGGGGCGUCACGCCGUCGGGCGUCCCGCGAAACUCAAGGCGGCUCAUCUGCGCGUGGGAGGCCUGCCGGCCAGCGCGCGGAGACAUCAAUCGGCAGGCUACGCACGUAGGGACCGCGGCUGAUCCAAUGCAAGACGGGAGUUCAACUCUCCCCGCCUCCACGU
This 369-nucleotide transfer-messenger RNA is filed under the name Gemmatimonadaceae. Its description in RNAcentral is "JACPPC01 sp016191225 Standard tmRNA". It matches the Rfam family "transfer-messenger RNA". Rfam says of the family: Bacterial tmRNA, also known as 10Sa RNA or SsrA, is named for its dual tRNA and mRNA-like properties. Lineage: Bacteria; Pseudomonadati; Gemmatimonadota; Gemmatimonadia; Gemmatimonadales. RNAcentral also lists the same sequence under 1 other name. The record is from RNAcentral.